AUUGAACGCUGGCGGCAUGCUUUACACAUGCAAGUCGAACGGUAACAGGCCGCAAGGUGCUGACGAGUGGCGCACGGGUGCGUAAUGCAUCGGAACGUGCCCAGUCGUGGGGGGUAACUACUCGAAAGAGUAGCUAAUACCGCAUACGAUCUAUGGAUGAAAGCGGGGGACCGCAAGGCCUCGCGCGCUUGGAGCGGCCGAUGUCAGAUUAGGUAGUUGGUGGGGUAAAGGCUCACCAAGCCAACGAUCUGUAGCUGGUCUGAGAGGACGACCAGCCACACUGGGACUGAGACACGGCCCAGACUCCUACGGGAGGCAGCAGUGGGGAAUUUUGGACAAUGGGCGCAAGCCUGAUCCAGCAAUGCCGCGUGCAGGAAGAAGGCCUUCGGGUUGUAAACUGCUUUUGUACGGAACGAAACGGCUCUGGUUAAUACCCGGGGCUAAUGACGGUACCGUAAGAAUAAGCACCGGCUAACUACGUG
Molecule: ribosomal RNA, 482 nt
Filed under: uncultured bacterium
Lineage: Bacteria
Description: partial 16S ribosomal RNA
Rfam family: Bacterial small subunit ribosomal RNA
Source: RNAcentral